AAACUAACAAGGAUUCCCCUAGUAACGGCGAGUGAAGCGGGAUGAGCUCAAGCUUAAAAUCUCUGUGCAAGUUUUGCAUGGCGAAUUGUAGUCUAUAGAGGCGCUGUCAGUGCAGGCAUUCGGGGUAAGUUCCUUGGAAGAGGACAGCAUCGAGGGUGAUACUCCCGUUUGUACCUGAGUGCUUUGUGCGUACGACACGUUUUCUUUGAGUCGCGUUGUUUGGGACUGCAGCGCAAAGUAGGUGGUAAAUUCCAUCUAAAGCUAAAUAUUGGUGCGAGACCGAUAGCGAACAAGUACCGUGAGGGAAAGAUGAAAAGAACUUUGAAAAGAGAGUUAAAGAGUACCUGAAACUGCUGAAAGGGAAGCGAAUCGUAUCCAGUGUCUAUAAUCUGUGGCAUAUUUCAUUGGCGCAUGUGCGCGUGCUGUGUGUUGGAAGUGGCUUUGCUGCUCCGCGUAUGGUUCUGCGUGUGUGUGUUGGUGCCCUGUGUCAUGGUGGGACGUCAGAGUCAGUUCGUAUGCUGCGGGAAAUGGCUAUUGAGGAGGUAGGUCAGGAGCUUGCUCUUGGCUGUUAUAUCUUGGUAGCUAGUGGUCGUGGUUGGGACUGAGGUGCCUACAACGUGCUUUGAGGUCUUGCGGGUUCUUGCUUGGCGGUCUGUCUGGAUAGCUUGCUAUGCUGGUGGAUUCGUCGGGUGAUUGAGUCUGUUUGUAACCUGUGCCGUUCGGGACUUUGACGAAAUGGAGCGAUUCGGC
Molecule: ribosomal RNA, 750 nt
Filed under: Pythium sp. UZ275
Lineage: Eukaryota; Oomycota; Peronosporomycetes; Pythiales; Pythiaceae
Description: LSU rRNA
Rfam family: Eukaryotic large subunit ribosomal RNA
Source: RNAcentral